Molecule: ribosomal RNA, 198 nt
Filed under: uncultured bacterium
Lineage: Bacteria
Description: partial 16S ribosomal RNA
Rfam family: Bacterial small subunit ribosomal RNA
Source: RNAcentral
ACGCUCGACACCUACGGGAAGCAGCAGUGGGGAAUAUUGCACAAUGGAGGAAACUCUGAUGCAGCGAUGCCGCGUGAGGGAAGAAGGUUUUCGGAUUGUAAACCUCUGUCUUUGGGGACGAUAAUGACGGUACCCAAGGAGGAAGCUCCGGCUAACUACGUGCCAGUAGCCGCGGUAAUCUGAGCGGGCUGGCAAGGC